CUGCUGCCCCUGAGGCAGCUGUAUCUGCUGCUGCGCCUGUGGCAGCUGUAUCUGCUGCUGCACCAGUGGCAGCUGUAUCUGCGGCUGCCCCUGAAACAGCUGUAUCUGUGGCUGCCCCUGAAACAGCUGUAUCUGCGGCUGCCCCUGAAACAGCUGUAUCUGCGGCUGCCCCUGAAGCAGAUGUAUCUGCUGCUGUGG
RNAcentral lists this small RNA (198 nucleotides) under Marmota monax (woodchuck). The record is from RNAcentral. Lineage: Eukaryota; Metazoa; Chordata; Mammalia; Rodentia; Sciuridae.